RNAcentral lists this ribosomal RNA (498 nucleotides) under uncultured bacterium. Its description in RNAcentral is "partial 16S ribosomal RNA". It matches the Rfam family "Bacterial small subunit ribosomal RNA", at positions 29 to 523 of the family's 1533-position model. The record is from RNAcentral.
AUUGAACGCUGGCGGCAUGCUUUACACAUGCAAGUCGAACGGUAACAGGCCGCAAGGUGCUGACGAGUGGCGAACGGGUGAGUAAUGCAUCGGAACGUGCCCAGUCGUGGGGGAUAACGCAGCGAAAGCAGCGCUAAUACCGCAUACGAUCUAUGGAUGAAAGCGGGGGACCGUAAGGCCUCGCGCGAUUGGAGCGGCCGAUGUCAGAUUAGGUAGUUGGUGGGGUAAAGGCUCACCAAGCCAACGAUCUGUAGCUGGACUGAGAGGACGACCAGCCACACUGGGACUGGGACACGGCCCAGACUCCUACGGGAGGCAGCAGUGGGGAAUUUUGGACAAGGGGCGCAAGCCUGAUCCAGCAAUGCCGCGUGCAGGAAGAAGGCCUUCGGGUUGUAAACUGCUUUUGUACGGAACGAAACGGUCCGGGUUAAUACCCUGGGCUAAUGACGGUACCGUAAGAAUAAGCACCGGCUAACUACGUGCCAGCAGCCGCCGUAA